This is a long non-coding RNA of Artibeus jamaicensis (Jamaican fruit-eating bat), 3423 nucleotides long. RefSeq lists it as uncharacterized. The transcript is spliced from 3 exons. Lineage: Eukaryota; Metazoa; Chordata; Mammalia; Chiroptera; Phyllostomidae. The record is from RefSeq and is a predicted model, not a curated record.
GCGGCCGUUAGCGGGGCGGGCGGCACGCUCCGCCCCCCGCCCCGGGCCGCGGCCGUGCCUCUCCCUCCCGCAGGGGGACUUUCGUGGUGGGCGUCACGUGGUCCGACACGUAGCCGUAAGGACUUGGUCACGGCGGGCUCCGACUGCUACUGUGUCGUUGGUGGGACCGCACGACGAUCUCUCCAGCCCUCGCUCCCCCAUCCUGCAUCCCUGCGGUUUCCUACGGUUCCUAGAGCCGCGCGGUGGGAAGGAGCCUUAGGAGUGGCGGGUCCCGCGUGGGCGCGCCUUGUCUCUCCGACGGCAUCGCCGCUGUCGGUGCAGUGGCCUCUCCCGCGGCCGGCGCGCCACUAGGGACAGGGCGUGCUUUGUUGCCACAUCCCGUUAGUCCGAGAUCCAUCCACGGUCCGGAGCAGGCAGCGCGGUGCACGAGAUUCUGAGUCUGUGAAUGGCGUUCGCAGUGUUUUGUUUCGUGAUGGCAGCGGCAUCCAGAAAUAAGAUAGCAUCGGCAUCCAGAAAUAAGAUACGGCCGCAGUAAAGAAAUAACGAGCAUGUGCCCAGUUGAAAAGCGAAAGUCAACAUUUCUGUUUGCAAAUUGCAGAAAUAACUAUACAGUGGACUAGAGGGUUUGCCAAGCAGUAUGAUGGAUUUCAGAUAUUUAGGUUAAUCUGGGAAAGAAUUUUCUGAGCUGAAGCAGUUUAGUUGUCUUUGGAAUGUUACCAAUCACUAAAUCUGCAUUUUAUUGCAAGCCCUUUAUGACGUGUACAAUUAAUGAGAUAAAAUUAUUUACUAUCACUGACCAUUGUGAGAGUUACUCGUGCCUGAGAUUUUUCUUAAUCUUGUCGACUGUUAACUGAAUUUGCUCCAACAAAUUCCUAGCAACACUUUUUAAGACUGAAUCGCAUUGAAGAUACUAAGUUUCAAACAAAUACUCUUUGAGAGUAGCAAGUAAUUUCUAGCCUGUUCAUUUGAAGAACGCAGAGUGAGUUCGUUUUCAAAAUUAAGCUACUUUGAUAGAGGAAAUGGAAUUGCCUUGGCAGGCAAAGUUAAAAACAUUUAACCCCCAAAUUUUAAGUUAUCCAAUAUUCAUCACUGUUAAGAGCCAUAAAAUAUUCGUGUACUGAUUACCUAUUUAAAGGAUGAAUUGUAUAAAUAUAAGGAAUAAUUAUUUCACAAAAAAAUCUGUCUAAACACUAAAAGUAAGGUAUGCUUUUUCAGUAUUUAGCAAAAUGGUUAGUUUCAAAGGGUUUAGGUAGUAAAUUACUUAUUUGAUAUGCGAGUGUAAAAGAUUCAAUCCCCCUUUUUAAUUGGUUCACUUCUGUAUUAAUCCUCCAAGUGCUGUUUUUAAAGGAGUUACAUAUAUAAAUGCUUUACAUAUAUCUCAUUUAAUCUUCAGCUUUCUGGCUUAGGUUGUGCUGUAUCCCCAUUUUAUACCACAGGAAACCCAAGGAAAAGAAGGUUGAGUUACUGGCCCAAAACUACAGCUCAUGAGCACUGGAUCUGGGAUUCAAAUCCACUUACACUUUAUGCAAAGCCCUUGUUCUUUACCCAUCUACCAGCCCUAGCCAGUAAGUCACAUCAAACCUUUUGACUGUUUGACCAUUUUUUGACCCAUGGGAACUGGAACAUCAUAGCUCACCCAGCUAAGCCAACCAGGUCAGAUUUAAAGAACCAUGUGAGGCAGUAAUCAUUUCCGUUGUAUUAAAUCCCUUAUGGUUGCAGCAUUUGCUAAGAGUUACUAUGCAUUACCUUUUCAAAUACACACUUAGCACAUCACCUCUGCUCACAGUUCUUUUGUUACCCGUUUUCAAUUUAAAAAAACAAAACAAAACCAGAAGGCCUUACCAAGGCCUGUAGCCCCACAUGCUCUGACCCCUGCUGCCUUGCUGACCUCCUGUCCACCUCUCUUCCCCUUUCACAGUGGUCUGUAGGCCCUGGAAUCCCCUCCCCCAUCCUUAAACAGGCCAAGCAGUGGGACAUGGGGUGUCUAGUACAGAUGCUUGGAGGCUUCCUGGCUAAUGUGGGCUGACUGUGUUUAAGGGGAGUAUGCCCCAAGCUUCCCUUCCUCAAGCAGGUCUUUCUACUAAAAAUCUCUAAGGAUAAGGGGGAGCACAAAACCCCUGGUUGGUUGGGCUUUGCACUUGGAGUUUCCUCUCUCUGCAGCGCUUGCCCUGCACACCCUCCAGCCUGCCUCCAGGGGUUCUGCCACCAGAGCUGAAGCAGUGUAGAAAUGUACAGGGGCACCCUUGUUAUUGUCUGCUGGCCCUCCUUUUAACUCUUCCCACAGCAUUUACUUCCUCCUGACACGGGAUCUAUGCAUGAGUUUGUCACAUCCCCCUCCCCGUAAGCCCCAUGAGAGUGAGGACUUUUAUUUUGUUCUGUUUGAAAUUCCCAGCUCCUAGAACAGCACGUGGUGUGUGUGGGUGCUCAUUAAAAAUACGUUCAAAAAGGGCAGUAAGCACUUGUUAUGCACUAGGAACUGUACAAAAUCCUUACCUACAUGACUUCAUUUAAUUUGCACAGUAGACAUUCCAGGUGGGCAUGAGUGCACCACCUGCGAUUCCCUGCCUUUUCUCUGCCACACUGCACCUGGGGCAUUGCAGGCCCACAGUACACCGCUCACCACCCUGCCUGUAAGUGCAGCGAGAAUGCAGAAGUUCCUGGGGUACAUCUCUUGUCUUCGAGAAGCUUAAAAAUUAAUGUGGGAAGACAAAUGACAUUAGUCCAAAUAUGACACAUGACCUUGGCAGGUUGCCGUGUGCACACAGUAUGUGUGGGUGAGCUUCCCAUUGAAGAUCCAUGUAACUUUUCCCAUGAAAAUGUUCUAAUGUGCUGACCCUAAAAAUGGUUCCAUAGCUAAUAUCAGUAAUUAACCACAAAUUGUCUUAAAUUUGAUUUUAUUUGAUUAUUGCUAUUCUCUACAUUUAAAAUUUUAAAGUUGUGGUAUUCCAAGCAUUCUUUCACAUCACCAUGAAGUUCUUGCAAGAACAAAAAUGUGCCUUGGACUUAAGAAUCAAUGUUUGAUAGCUUUUUGUUCCAACUGUUCUUUCUAAAAAUCUUAAUCCUUGAAUAUUUCUAAAAGGGAAUAGUCAUUCCCAAUUUCUUUGUAAACUAAAUCUUGGUUUAUUGUGUUAAUAGAUUUGUCAAGACUUCUUUUAAAUUGUGGGGUGGCUGAUCGAGUCUGUUUAAAAGGUUGAAAUGAUACAUUUUAAGUGUGAACAUCUUCAUUGACAAAUACAGUCCCUGUCAUUAACCCUGAGACACUCUGGGGCUAAGCCAGGUGUCAAUGUGGCACACACAUGGAGAGUUAACCAGUGACAGUGAAUGCCAAAGACAAAACGCUGUCUGCGUGGAAAGGAGCACUGCCUUCCAGGCCAGAGCCACGCAGGCUGCUUGGGGCCCUGGGCCUGGAAGAAGUAGCUUGAG